UCUCCCGUUUCCUUGAUCGUGCCGCAGCAGUCAAAGCGGUGGGAGCAGUUUCCGGCAGACAUUUAUCACUCCACCAGGAAAUCUUGCCUCCAUCCCCGAGAUUCCUUCCCCCUCCCGUUUCCUCUCCUCUCACCUUAUUCAUUGCUUUUCUCCAACCAAUCCAAGGGCGGAUGGCCUCCAUGGACGCCGCUCAAGCAUCUCAAAAUCUUUCACGGGCACUGCUGGCCGCAUGGUAUCGCUCCCGCUCCAUCCUUUUCCUAAGGAACCAUUGGACAUGGCAAGGACGGAGAUGGAUGCGUGUACAAGCGGAUGCGACGUCCUCACUAGGCUCAGCCGCCCAAGCCCCGAGUGGAGGACGAUGGCGAGCUCGACCCCACACUUCUCUUCUCCGUCCUGGAGGAAUAAGGGCUUCGAUGGCGCGGUGAUGUGCCACCUCUGUGUUUCACAAUUGCCAUCAUGUUUGCUACUUCAGAACUUGAUGUUCUCACUUCGUGUGCUGGAAGGAAGACUGAACAUUCAUUAAGUUAGCUCAAUGUCUUUUUUGCUGAGUUGUCAUAUUAACAUAGUGAUGGCGUUUGACAUUGUAAGAGUACAUUGAACUAUUCUUCAUGUCUCAUGAAACAUAUGCAUAGUUUAUUGCAUGGUUGGACAGACACUCAUUUUCUUGCACUUCAGCGACUACAACGUCCACAGCUUCAACAGAUGGAUGCAUGAAGCAGCCAGGCAGCACAACUGUAAUAACAUAAGCUUUCUAAUUGGUGAUGUUUCAUCCCCUGAGCGUGCCUUCCAGGUCAUUUACUCUUACUGCAUUAUCAUCAUUUGUUUAAGUAUUCUACAACUAAUGCACUAAUUAGUAUUCAUGUGAUACUGAGGAAAAUGAUGUUCCUCUCCUCAUGUAUAUCUGAUUUAGGGUGGCUUUAUUUUUUAUGCGGGUGCAGUCCGUUCAGUCCUCAUGAAGGUUAUAUAAAGAGGACACAAACUACACAGUGAGUUGGCAUCAGCUUCUUUAUCAGUAUGAUUCUUUGCUCAAGAGAGGCUAUGUAGCUUAAAGAGAUGACAACCUGACAACUCAUUGGCGUUGCUUAUUUUGAACAUGAGUAGUAAGGAACACAACAGCUCCUCACCUUGACGGUGGCCUCCGGCCCUGCCAGUGAUCUGCCACCGCUGGGUUAGCGCUAGACGACUAACAGUGCUGAUGUCUGCUCCAGAACAGGGAGCAUGGCAUCUCCUGGAAGCCGCCCUGCUGCCACCCAAAUAACGACCAGAAUAUGAACGAUGCAGUCAGCAAGGUGGUGCGCGGAGGACCGGGCUAGCAGACGAAGCCCACAGUAGGAGCUGGUACCUUUCCCAUUCUAUUGCAAUAUGCAAGGAAUAGUUUGUGUUUUUCAUAACCACCGAUUCACAUUGGUUCUAAGUAUGAAUUCGCUCUAUUUUUGGUUUUUUUAGCUAACACGAUGCAGCCAUCAGUAAGUUCUAGCUUAUAAUGACGCUAAUUAUUAAAAGAGCUAUUAGUUGUUUUCAUGAGAAGUACACUUAGGAUAAGUUGAUAUUGCAGGCAGUGGCGUAGCUAUGUAGC
Molecule: long non-coding RNA, 1576 nt
Organism: Lolium perenne
Lineage: Eukaryota; Viridiplantae; Streptophyta; Magnoliopsida; Poales; Poaceae
Source: RefSeq, a predicted model, not a curated record